RNAcentral lists this small RNA (886 nucleotides) under Pongo abelii (Sumatran orangutan). RNAcentral's name for it is "retained intron". Lineage: Eukaryota; Metazoa; Chordata; Mammalia; Primates; Hominidae. The record is from RNAcentral.
AACUUGUGUUAGGCAUGUGUCCGAAGUGCUGGAAGUCUCAGGAUGUCAAUGGCUUUCAGAUGUCAGGAUAACCGUAAGGAUAGAUGAAGGGUUGAGAUCCUGUGCCUCAUUUCUGAGUUCUCAGCUGCUAUGCCGUGGAAAUCCUGUUUACUUUCUGCAUCUCCUCCUGCAAGACUCUGGAGCCAGUCUUGAGGUCCUACAUCUGCGAAAGCAAGCUCUUCUAGAAGUUGAUAGCUUUCCAAUGAUUAGACGAAUUGAUUCUUUCUGUGACUCAUCAGUUCAUUUCCUGUAAAAUUCAUGUCUUGCUGUUGAUUUGUGAAUAAGAACCAGAGCUUGUAGAAACCACCUUAAUCAUAUCCAGGAGUUUGCAAGAAACAGGUGCUUAACACUAAUUCACCUCCUGAACAAGAAAAAUGGGCUGUGAUCGGAACUGUGGGCUCAUCGCUGGGGCUGUCAUUGGUGCCAUCCUGGCUGUGUUUGGAGGUAUUCUAAUGCCAGUUGGAGAUCUGCUUAUCCAGAAGACAAUUAAAAAGGUACAAGUAGUCCAAAGAAUAUGGCUUGUCGUUUUGAUUCAUUCUAACUUCUCUUUUUUUGCUUUGUAUUUACCUGCUUUAUAUUUCAUGGUAACUGCUAAUUUUGUAUCUUUGACAUGAAGGUAAUUAUGAACCACUGCAACUCUAUAUGAGGUGACUUUAUGUGAAAUGUUAGAAGUAUAACGUAUAUUUAACAUGACUCCGUUGCUAUCUUAAAUAUAAAUACCAAAUUCUAUUAAAAGCUGUCUACAGGUAUGCAUAUUAGUAGAAAUAAUUGUUUUAAGUUAUGUCCAAAGAGCAUGUUGGCAUGCUUUUGAAUAGGAAAUAACAGUAUAUUUUGUAAAAGCACAUUU